RNAcentral lists this ribosomal RNA (305 nucleotides) under uncultured bacterium. Its description in RNAcentral is "bacterial SSU rRNA". It matches the Rfam family "Bacterial small subunit ribosomal RNA", at positions 333 to 631 of the family's 1533-position model. The record is from RNAcentral.
GGCUUCCUACGGGAGGCAGCAGUAGGGAAUUUUCGUCAAUGGGCGCAAGCCUGAACGAGCAAUGCCGCGUGAACGAGGAAGGUCUUCGGAUCGUAAAGUUCUGUUGAAGGGGAAAAAGAGCGGAGAGAGGAAAUGAACUCCGAUUGAUAUUACCCUUCGAGGAAGUCACGGCUAACUACGUGCCAGCAGCCGCGGUAAUACGUAGGUGGCGAGCGUUAUCCGGAAUGAUUGGGCGUAAAGGGUGCGUAGGCGGCCUGCUAAGUCUGGAGUGAAGGGUACCGGCUCAACCGGGACAGGCUCUGGAA